This 253-nucleotide ribosomal RNA is filed under the name uncultured bacterium. Its description in RNAcentral is "partial 16S ribosomal RNA". It matches the Rfam family "Bacterial small subunit ribosomal RNA", at positions 524 to 776 of the family's 1533-position model. The record is from RNAcentral.
UACGUAGGGUGCGAGCGUUGUCCGGAAUUACUGGGCGUAAAGAGCGUGUAGGCGGCCAGGUAGGUCGGUUGUGAAAACUGGAGGCUCAACCUUCAGAGGUCGACCGAAACCAUCUGGCUAGAGUCCGGGAGAGGAGAGUGGAAUUCCUGGUGUAGCGGUGAAAUGCGCAGAUAUCAGGAAGAACACCCGUGGCGAAAGCGGCUCUCUGGAACGGUACUGACGCUGAGACGCGAAAGCGUGGGGAGCGAACAGG